RNAcentral lists this transfer RNA (78 nucleotides) under Acidobacteriota bacterium. RNAcentral's name for it is "tRNA-Arg". It matches the Rfam family "tRNA". Rfam says of the family: Transfer RNA (tRNA) molecules are approximately 80 nucleotides in length. Their secondary structure includes four short double-helical elements and three loops (D, anti-codon, and T loops). Further hydrogen bonds mediate the characteristic L-shaped molecular structure. tRNAs have two regions of fundamental functional importance: the anti-codon, which is responsible for specific mRNA codon recognition, and the 3' end, to which the tRNAs corresponding amino acid is attached (by aminoacyl-tRNA synthetases). tRNAs cope with the degeneracy of the genetic code in two manners: having more than one tRNA (with a specific anti-codon) for a particular amino acid; and 'wobble' base-pairing, i.e. permitting non-standard base-pairing at the 3rd anti-codon position. The record is from RNAcentral. Lineage: Bacteria; Pseudomonadati; Acidobacteriota. RNAcentral also lists the same sequence under 4 other names.
GCGCCCAUAGCUCAACUGGACCAGAGCGUUUGACUACGGAUCAAAAGGUUGGGGGUUCGAGUCCUCCUGGGCGCACCA